AGCGUAGGUGGAUAUUUAAGUGGGAUGUGAAAUACUCGGGCUUAACCUGGGUGCUGCAUUCCAAACUGGAUAUCUAGAGUGCAGGAGAGGAAAGUAGAAUUCCUAGUGUAGCGGUGAAAUGCGUAGAGAUUAGGAAGAAUACCAGUGGCGAAGGCGACUUUCUGGACUGUAACUGACACUGAGGCUCGAAAGCGUGGGGAGCAAACA
RNAcentral lists this ribosomal RNA (207 nucleotides) under uncultured Clostridium sp. RNAcentral's name for it is "partial 16S ribosomal RNA". It matches the Rfam family "Bacterial small subunit ribosomal RNA", at positions 568 to 774 of the family's 1533-position model. RNAcentral also lists the same sequence under 1 other name. The record is from RNAcentral. Lineage: Bacteria; Bacillati; Bacillota; Clostridia; Eubacteriales; Clostridiaceae.